AGUGAACGCUGGCGGUAGGCCUAACACAUGCAAGUCGAACGGCAGCACAGGAGAGCUUGCUCUCUGGGUGGCGAGUGGCGGACGGGGGAGGAAUACAUCGGAAUCUACUCUGUCGUGGGGGAUAACGUAGGGAAACUUACGCUAAUACCGCAUACGAGCUACGGGUGAAAGCAGGGGACCUUCGGGCCUUGCGCGAUUGAAUGAGCCGAUGUCGGAUUAGCUAGUUGGCGGGGUAAAGGCCCACCAAGGCGACGAUCCGUAGCUGGUCUGAGAGGAUGAUCAGCCACACUGGAACUGAGACACGGUCCAGACUCCUACGGGAGGCAGCAGUGGGGAAUAUUGGACAAUGGGCGCAAGCCUGAUCCAGCCAUACCGCGUGGGUGAAGAAGGCCUUCGGGUUGUAAAGCCCUUUUGUUGGGAAAGAAAUCCAGCUGGCUAAUACCCGGUUGGGACGACGGUACCCAAAGAAUAAGCACCGGCUAACUUCGUGCCAGCCGCCGCCGUAA
This 506-nucleotide ribosomal RNA is filed under the name uncultured bacterium. RNAcentral describes it as "partial 16S ribosomal RNA". It matches the Rfam family "Bacterial small subunit ribosomal RNA", at positions 29 to 523 of the family's 1533-position model. The record is from RNAcentral.